GAUCCGUAACUUCGGGAAAA
RNAcentral lists this non-coding RNA (20 nucleotides) under Arabidopsis thaliana (thale cress). Lineage: Eukaryota; Viridiplantae; Streptophyta; Magnoliopsida; Brassicales; Brassicaceae. The record is from RNAcentral.